GUUGAACGCUGGCGGCAUGCCUAACACAUGCAAGUCGAGCGAACAGACGCGUACCUUGCUCCUCGGACGUUAGCCGCGGGCGUGUUAGUAACACGUGUAUAACCUACCUGUAAGAAUGGGAUCACUUCCGGAAACCGUAGCUAAUACCGGAUAAUAUAUUGAACCGCAUGGUGCAAUAGUGAACGCGGGUUUUGCUGUCACUUAUAGAUUGAUCCGCGCCACAUUAGCUAGUUGGUCAGGUAACGGCUUACCAAGGCAACGAUGCGUAGCCGACCUGAGAGGGUGAUCGGCCACACUGGAACUGAGACACGGUCCAGACUCCUACGGGAGGCAGCAGUAGGGAAUCUUCGGCAAUGGGCGCAAGCCUGACGCAGCCACGCCGCGUGAGUGAUGAAGGUCUUCGGAUCGUAAAACUCUGUUAUUCGGGAAGAACAAAUGUGUAAGUAACUAUGCACGUCUUGACGGUACCUAAUCAGAAAGCCACGGCUAACUACGUG
Molecule: ribosomal RNA, 497 nt
Filed under: uncultured bacterium
Lineage: Bacteria
Description: partial 16S ribosomal RNA
Rfam family: Bacterial small subunit ribosomal RNA
Source: RNAcentral